RNAcentral lists this ribosomal RNA (380 nucleotides) under uncultured Bacillus sp. RNAcentral describes it as "bacterial SSU rRNA". It matches the Rfam family "Bacterial small subunit ribosomal RNA", at positions 143 to 508 of the family's 1533-position model. The record is from RNAcentral. Lineage: Bacteria; Bacillati; Bacillota; Bacilli; Caryophanales; Bacillaceae.
AUAACUCCGGGAAACCGGGGCUAAUACCGGAUGGUUGUUUGAACCGCAUGGUUCAGACAUAAAAGGUGGCUUCGGCUACCACUUACAGAUGGACCCGCGGCGCAUUAGCUAGUUGGUGAGGUAACGGCUCACCAAGGCGACGAUGCGUAGCCGACCUGAGAGGGUGAUCGGUCACACUGGGACUGAGACACGGCCCAAACUCCUACGGGAGGCAGCAGUAGGGAAUCUUCCGCAAUGGACGAAAGUCUGACGGAGCAACGCCGCGUGAGUGAUGAAGGUUUUCGGAUCGUAAAGCUCUGUUGUUAGGGAAGAACAAGUGCCGUUCAAAUAGGGCGGCACCUUGACGGUACCUAACCAGAAAGCCACGGCUAACUACAUGC